GCCGCCAUGGUAUUGUAGUGGUAGUGCACUACCUGGAAACCACUCUAGAUGGGACAGUGAUAGUAGGGGGCUAUUUUCUGGAACUUUAGAGGGCUCGGGUUCGAAUCCCGGUGACGGCU
Aspergillus wentii DTO 134E9 is the source of this 119-nucleotide non-coding RNA. The record is from the annotation of a RefSeq genome assembly. Lineage: Eukaryota; Fungi; Ascomycota; Eurotiomycetes; Eurotiales; Aspergillaceae.